RNAcentral lists this ribosomal RNA (550 nucleotides) under uncultured bacterium. RNAcentral describes it as "bacterial SSU rRNA". It matches the Rfam family "Bacterial small subunit ribosomal RNA", at positions 108 to 672 of the family's 1533-position model. The record is from RNAcentral.
GAGUAACGCGUGAGGAACCUGCCUUUCAGUGGGGGACAACAGUUGGAAACGACUGCUAAUACCGCAUGAUGCUUUUGGGAGACAUCUCCCGGAAGCCAAAGCUUUAUGUGCUGAAAGAUGGCCUCGCGUCUGAUUAGCUAGUUGGUGAGGUAACGGCUCACCAAGGCGACGAUCAGUAGCCGGUCUGAGAGGAUGAACGGCCACAUUGGGACUGAGAUACGGCCCAGACUCCUACGGGAGGCAGCAGUGGGGAAUAUUGGGCAAUGGGGGAAACCCUGACCCAGCAACGCCGCGUGAAGGAAGAAGGCCUUCGGGUUGUAAACUUCUUUUACCAGGGACGAAGGACGUGACGGUACCUGGAGAAAAAGCAACGGCUAACUACGUGCCAGCAGCCGCGGUAAUACGUAGGUUGCAAGCGUUGUCCGGAUUUACUGGGUGUAAAGGGCGUGUAGGCGGAGAUGCAAGUUGGGAGUGAAAUCCAUGGGCUCAACCCAUGAACUGCUCUCAAAACUGUAUCCCUUGAGUAUCGGAGAGGCAAGCGGAAUUCCUA